UACGGAGGAUGCGAGCGUUAUCCGGAUUUAUUGGGUUUAAAGGGUGCGUAGGUGGGCUGUUAAGUCAGUGGUGAAAGUUUGUCGCUCAACGAUAAAAUUGCCGUUGAAACUGGUGGUCUUGAGUAUGGAUGAAGUAGGCGGAAUGCGUGGUGUAGCGGUGAAAUGCAUAGAGAUCACGCAGAACUCCGAUUGCGAAGGCAGCUUACUAAGGCAUAACUGACACUGAAGCACGAAAGCGUGGGUAUCAAACAGG
Molecule: ribosomal RNA, 253 nt
Filed under: uncultured bacterium
Lineage: Bacteria
Description: partial 16S ribosomal RNA
Rfam family: Bacterial small subunit ribosomal RNA
Source: RNAcentral